Molecule: ribosomal RNA, 495 nt
Filed under: uncultured bacterium
Lineage: Bacteria
Description: partial 16S ribosomal RNA
Rfam family: Bacterial small subunit ribosomal RNA
Source: RNAcentral
GACGAACGCUGGCGGCGUGCCUAAUACAUGCAAGUAGAACGCUGAAGGAGGAGCUUGCUUCUCUGGAUGAGUUGCGAACGGGUGAGUAACGCGUAGGUAACCUGCCUGGUAGUGGGGGAUAACUAUUGGAAACGAUAGCUAAUACCGCAUAAUAGCAGUUGUUGCAUGAUAACUGUUUGAAAGGUGCAAUUGCACCGCUACCAGAUGGACCUGCGUUGUAUUAGCUAGUUGGUGGGGUAACGGCUCACCAAGGCGACGAUACAUAGCCGACCUGAGAGGGUGAUCGGCCACACUGGGACUGGGACACGGCCCAGACUCCUACGGGAGGCAGCAGUAGGGAAUCUUCGGCAAUGGACGGAAGUCUGACCGAGCAACGCCGCGUGAGUGAAGAAGGUUUUCGGAUCGUAAAGCUCUGUUGUAAGAGAAGAACGAGUGUGAGAGUGGAAAGUUCACACUGUGACGGUAUCUGACCAGAAAGGGACGGCUAACUACGUG